Molecule: ribosomal RNA, 1229 nt
Filed under: Micrococcus sp. PKM8
Lineage: Bacteria; Bacillati; Actinomycetota; Actinomycetes; Micrococcales; Micrococcaceae
Description: bacterial SSU rRNA
Rfam family: Bacterial small subunit ribosomal RNA
Source: RNAcentral
CGUCCACCGCAUGGUGGGUGUUGGAAAGAUUUAUCGGUUUUGGAUGGACUCGCGGCCUAUCAGCUUGUUGGUGAGGUAAUGGCUCACCAAGGCGACGACGGGUAGCCGGCCUGAGAGGGUGACCGGCCACACUGGGACUGAGACACGGCCCAGACUCCUACGGGAGGCAGCAGUGGGGAAUAUUGCACAAUGGGCGCAAGCCUGAUGCAGCGACGCCGCGUGAGGGAUGACGGCCUUCGGGUUGUAAACCUCUUUCAGUAGGGAAGAAGCGAAAGUGACGGUACCUGCAGAAGAAGCACCGGCUAACUACGUGCCAGCAGCCGCGGUAAUACGUAGGGUGCGAGCGUUAUCCGGAAUUAUUGGGCGUAAAGAGCUCGUAGGCGGUUUGUCGCGUCUGUCGUGAAAGUCCGGGGCUUAACCCCGGAUCUGCGGUGGGUACGGGCAGACUAGAGUGCAGUAGGGGAGACUGGAAUUCCUGGUGUAGCGGUGGAAUGCGCAGAUAUCAGGAGGAACACCGAUGGCGAAGGCAGGUCUCUGGGCUGUAACUGACGCUGAGGAGCGAAAGCAUGGGGAGCGAACAGGAUUAGAUACCCUGGUAGUCCAUGCCGUAAACGUUGGGCACUAGGUGUGGGGACCAUUCCACGGUUUCCGCGCCGCAGCUAACGCAUUAAGUGCCCCGCCUGGGGAGUACGGCCGCAAGGCUAAAACUCAAAGGAAUUGACGGGGGCCCGCACAAGCGGCGGAGCAUGCGGAUUAAUUCGAUGCAACGCGAAGAACCUUACCAAGGCUUGACAUGUUCUCGAUCGCCGUAGAGAUACGGUUUCCCCUUUGGGGCGGGUUCACAGGUGGUGCAUGGUUGUCGUCAGCUCGUGUCGUGAGAUGUUGGGUUAAGUCCCGCAACGAGCGCAACCCUCGUUCCAUGUUGCCAGCACGUCGUGGUGGGGACUCAUGGGAGACUGCCGGGGUCAACUCGGAGGAAGGUGAGGACGACGUCAAAUCAUCAUGCCCCUUAUGUCUUGGGCUUCACGCAUGCUACAAUGGCCGGUACAAUGGGUUGCGAUACUGUGAGGUGGAGCUAAUCCCAAAAAGCCGGUCUCAGUUCGGAUUGGGGUCUGCAACUCGACCCCAUGAAGUCGGAGUCGCUAGUAAUCGCAGAUCAGCAACGCUGCGGUGAAUACGUUCGCGGGCCUUGUACACACCGCGCGUCAAGUCACGAUAUUCGUAACACC